GAUGAAGAACGUAGCAAAAUGCGAUAAGUAAUGUGAAUUGCAGAAUUCAGUGAAUCAUCGAAUCUUUGAACGCACAUUGCGCCCGCUGGUAUUCCGGCGGGCAUGCCUGUUCGAGCGUCAUUUCAACCCUCAAGCCCCCGGGUUUGGUGUUGGGGAUCGGCUCUGCCCUUCUGGGCGGUGCCGCCCCCGAAAUACAUUGGCGGUCUCGCUGCAGCCUCCAUUGCGUAGUAACUAACACCUCGCAUCUGGAACGCGGCGCGGCCAUGCCGUAAAACCCCAACUUCUGAAUGUUGACCUCGGAUCAGGUAGGAAUACCCGCUGAACUUAAGCAUAUCAAUAAGCGGAGGA
RNAcentral lists this unclassified non-coding RNA (348 nucleotides) under soil metagenome. RNAcentral describes it as "partial contains 5.8S ribosomal RNA, internal transcribed spacer 2, and large subunit ribosomal RNA". The stretch from base 1 to 120 matches the Rfam family "5.8S ribosomal RNA", at positions 35 to 154 of the family's 154-position model. The record is from RNAcentral.